CAGCUCCUACGGGGGGCAGCAGUAGGGAAUAUUGCUCAAUAGGGGAAACCCUGAAGCAGCAACGCCGCGUGGAGGAUGAAGGUUUUCGGAUUGUAAACUCCUUUUGUUAGAGAAGAUAAUGACGGUAUCUAACGAAUAAGCACCGGCUAACUCCGUGCCAGCAGCCGCGGUAAUACGGAGGGUGCAAGCGUUACUCGGAAUCACUGGGCGUAAAGAGCGCGAAGGCGGGAUAGCAAGUCAGAUGUGAAAUGCUAUGGCUUAACCAUAGAACUGCAUUUGAAACUGUUAUUCUAGAUGAUGGGAGG
RNAcentral lists this ribosomal RNA (305 nucleotides) under uncultured bacterium. RNAcentral's name for it is "bacterial SSU rRNA". It matches the Rfam family "Bacterial small subunit ribosomal RNA", at positions 333 to 655 of the family's 1533-position model. The record is from RNAcentral.